AGUGAACGCUGGCGGUAGGCCUAACACAUGCAAGUCGAACGGCAGCACAGUAAGAGCUUGCUCUUACGGGUGGCGAGUGGCGGACGGGUGAGGAAUACAUCGGAAUCUACUUUUUCGUGGGGGAUAACGUAAGGAAAGUUACGCUAAUACCGCAUACGACCUACGGGUGAGAGCAGGGGAUCUUCGGACCUUGCGCGAUUGUAUGAGCCGAUGUCGGAUUAGCUAGUUGGCGGGGUAAAGGCCCACCAAGGCGACGAUCCGUAGCUGGUCUGAGAGGAUGAUCGGCCACACUGGAACUGAGACACGGUCCAGACUCCUACGGGAGGCAGCAGUGGGGAAUAUUGGACAAUGGGCGCAAGCCUGAUCCAGCCAUACCGCGUGGGUGAAGAAGGCCUUCGGGUUGUAAAGCCCUUUUGUUGGGAAAGAAAAGCAGCAGGUGAAUACCCCGCUGUUCUGACGGUACCCAAAGAAUAAGCACCGGCUAACUUCGUG
RNAcentral lists this ribosomal RNA (492 nucleotides) under uncultured bacterium. Its description in RNAcentral is "partial 16S ribosomal RNA". It matches the Rfam family "Bacterial small subunit ribosomal RNA", at positions 29 to 507 of the family's 1533-position model. The record is from RNAcentral.